UUUAACAACCCCACUAUUUCCCGAGGGUCAGCAUGUUUUCACAUACUGCGUUUUAAAAAUUUCUGAAGCAGAAAUGACGAUUAGACCUGUCAGUCCUUUCACAAUGGAAGACUUAGUUAGCUGCCAGCUCCCUCACCUCCUUUCACGGUGGCAAGCGAUGAGGUUUUGAGACAAGAAUACAGCCUGAGGGAUAGCUAAUCGGAGUGCCAGGCAGAGAAGGAAGGCAAGAUUCACAUGGAGCUGGGAGUGAGAAGCACUAGAAUUCUUAUAUAAAAAGCCACAUCUUACCAAAGCCUUGUGUGGGAGAUAACAGAUACAUCAAAGGUCAUCAUGCCAAAUUUAACAUCCAUAUGAGACAGAGUGGUUACACAUUCACUCUCUUCUUGGCGCUGCUUUCUGUCUUUUCCUUCUCACCAAGAUAAACUUAAAGAAGAGAAAGGAGUCAGCACCUUCGAAGUGUUCCCAGCACACACUGAACCUGACUCAGGCUUGUAGUGAUAGCACUUACAUCACCCGUAUGUAAAAUUGUUCCAGCAAGGAGCUGGCUGAACGGUUUGGGCAACUGGCCACUUAACGCAUGCAGUCAUUUGGAGGCCAAACUAGCCGUGUCCCAGACCGGAAGGCUGCUGAAAGGAAAGUGAGGGGCUGGGCGUGCAGUGAAAGGACAGAAAGCAGCAUUCAUGGAGCCCCUCAGAAAAAAAACAAAAAACGAAACCGGGCCCGACCACACAAGCGGCUCGGUGAGGGGGCUUCUCCUCGUCCAGCUCAAAAACAGCAGGAAGGCGGCUUUGGGUUCCCCUUAGGAUGAGCACCGCACACACCGCACGCUACGGUUCCGGCGGAGAUCCCCACACCCGCGGAUCGCGCACCGCACCCCGCCCACAC
Molecule: long non-coding RNA, 885 nt
Organism: Meleagris gallopavo (turkey)
Lineage: Eukaryota; Metazoa; Chordata; Aves; Galliformes; Phasianidae
Source: RefSeq, a predicted model, not a curated record